Molecule: ribosomal RNA, 431 nt
Filed under: uncultured bacterium
Lineage: Bacteria
Description: partial 16S ribosomal RNA
Rfam family: Bacterial small subunit ribosomal RNA
Source: RNAcentral
AGCGAACGCUGGCGGCAGGCUUAACACAUGCCAGUCGAGCGCCCCGCCAGGGGAGCUGCAUACGGGAGAGUAACACGUGGGAACAUACCUUUUGGUUCGGAACAACUGAGUGAAACUUCAGCUAAUACCGGAUAAGCCCUUACGGGGAAAGAUUUAUCGCCGAACGAUUGGCCCGCGUCUGAUUAGCUAGUUGGUUAGGUAACGGCUCACCAAGGCGACGAUCAGUAGCUGGUCUGAGAGGAUGAUCAGCCUCACUGGGACUGAGACACGGCCCAGACUCCUACGGGAGGCAGCAGUGGGGAAUAGUGGACAAUGGGGGCAACGCUGAUCCAGCCAUGCCGCGUGAGUGAUGAAGGCCUUAGGGUUGUAAAGCUCUUUUGCCCGGGAAGAUAAUGACGGUACCGGGAGAAUAAGCCCCGGCUAACUUCGUG